AUGCAGGCCUCGUCUCCCCAAUCCCCCCAUCCACACGAAACCCUAGCGGCCGAAUCGCGAUCCCCUUCCCGUCUCCGUCGCGACGGCUCCACCCCUACCCCUAUGAUCGUCGAUCAGAUGCCGAUGCCGCAGAAGCGGCGCCGCCGCCGGAGGAGGCCUCUUGAAGAAGGAGUGUCCCGCCGGCGCCUUGGUGACGGUGGCGCAUCGUUGUCUGGAUCCCUUGUCUAUUCGGACUCUGAUAGCAGCAGCCGUGUGGAUGGAGGCUCUCCGCCGCCCGACGAGCCUGCAACAGAGCCAAGGUACCAUGAAAUUGUUGCCUCGCGCCUCGCCCAAUUGCAGUUACCAGUCGGCUCGGAAUGGGACUUGGCCGGUUUUUCAAAUAUCCCUUCCCGCGAAAUCCUCGAAGCCCUUACUCGUAAAUCUUUCCACGAUGAUGAGUCGCGAGCUGCUCUAGUACAAUAUCAAAUCCAGUGUUUCUUCAACGAGGCCCAAGAGGGACGAGACAGAGAUUCACAAGGAAAAUCUGAUUCGGCCGUCGUUGUUGUUGCUGAACCGGCCAAUGAUGCUAUCACGAAGCAGCAACACAAAAGCGACUGUGAAAAGCUAGCGGCCCGCAUGACUGAAAUUGAGACUUACACCGAACUGGACCAAGAGGAGACCAACAAGUUCCAUCUCAAGUAUGCGCUUUAUCGCAUCAAAGCUUGCCUGCUGUUGAAAGGAGUGCCGGUUGACAAGAUUGAUGCUGCUGCGUUGGAACGCAAGUACCCUCCAGAGCUUAUCGUUAAGAACGACUACUUCUUUCACUACGUCCAGGAUGGCUUCUUUGGUUGGUAUUUUGAUUCCGAACUCUGUUACAAAAAGUCCUUGAGCGACUACCAGCGGCUAGUCAUUUUCAACGAUGGUGGUGUUGAGUAUACAAGUUGGAGUAGAUACCGAGCAUUUUAUAGCACCCCUGACGCUGAUAGAGAUUAUCUCCAAUACUGGGAAACAAUUGUGAAGGAAAUUAAAUGGGUUGAACAGUAUUUGCUGAUAAAUGAGUCGUCUAUUGAGUGGGCGCGUAUACAUUCAAAGGCCACAUUCCAAGCAUGUAGGAUCGCAGCUGGGUUUCAGAACAUGACUCUGGAACUAGCAGCUGUUGGUUUGCAUGAGUAUAUAUGGGAUGCACGCAUAAAUCUCAUGUUUGUGAAAGAUCGUGAUGGUGUCUUCUAUCAGAUUUGGAAGCGGGUCAAUGAUAAUCAUCAGCUGAGUUUCAGAGAUGCUCUUGAGCAAGUUUAUGGUGAAAACUUGUAUUCAGCACACGACCGCAAUAUGAAGUAUGAGCUGAAUUACGGCGAUUCCAACAUGGAGCAUGUUUUUGAUCGGUGCAUGAAAGGCAUUAGUGACAGUGUUCCAGAAUGUAAAGGCCGUGAGCUGAUUGCACAGGAGAUCCGUUGGACGAGUUUGUCGUCUGGAACAUAUGCGCAGUACGCCAGGAAGAAGCUGAAGAUUGCAGAACUGAUAGGAUUAAUUCCAAGGACAAGAUAG
This 1524-nucleotide ribosomal RNA is filed under the name Triticum aestivum (bread wheat). Its description in RNAcentral is "partial small subunit ribosomal RNA". Lineage: Eukaryota; Viridiplantae; Streptophyta; Magnoliopsida; Poales; Poaceae. The record is from RNAcentral.